GAUGAACGCUAGCGGGAGGCCUAACACAUGCAAGCCGAGCGGUAUUUGUUCUUCGGAACAGAGAGAGCGGCGCACGGGUGCGGAACACGUGUGCAACCUGCCUUUAUCUGGGGGAUAGCCUUUCGAAAGGAAGAUUAAUACCCCAUAAUAUAUUGAUUGUCAUCACUUGAUAUUUAAAACUCCGUUGGUUAUAGAUGGGCACGCGCAAGAUUUGAUAGUUGGUUAGGUAACGGCUCACCAAGUCAAUGAUCUUUAGGUGGCCUGAGAGAGUGAUCCCCCACACUGGUACUGAGACAAGGAACAGACUCCGACGGGAGGAAGCAGUGAGGAAUAUAGGAGAAAGGGUUAGCGCCUGAUCCAGCCAUCCCGAGUGAAGGACGACGGCACUAUGGGUUGUAAACUUCUUUUGUAUAGGGAUAAACUACUCUCGUGAGAGUAGCUGAAGGUACUAUACGAAUAAGCACCGGCUAACUCCGUG
RNAcentral lists this ribosomal RNA (478 nucleotides) under uncultured bacterium. Its description in RNAcentral is "partial 16S ribosomal RNA". It matches the Rfam family "Bacterial small subunit ribosomal RNA", at positions 28 to 507 of the family's 1533-position model. The record is from RNAcentral.